GUCACAGAGCUGGACCUUGUCUGCAGAUACAAGGAAAGUAUCUCCUUAGUGCCUGGUAGGCACUUAGGAGAAAGCAGCUGAUUUUCCUAGGCUCAUUUCCAAAUACCUGCGUUCUGUAUCUCAGAGGAAUUGAGGUGUCAAACUGAGCUCUGCAUACAGCACACUGGUGGCUGAGCUGAAAGCAUGGCGGAUGAGUGUAUCCAAGGUCCUGGUUUUGAAUAACAGCAGAUGCCAACGUUUAACUUCAAAAUCAAUCAAUUCUUUUUCCUGCGUGCGGAUAAAAGGUCUAGUGAAGUGCCUGAAGGGGGUUUUCUGCUGUUUACAGCUGAAAAUAUAUUAAAAAAAAUUUCAUUACAAAACUUUCUGCAAGAGAUGCGGAUGCUGGUGAUUUUAUGGAAGUAGCCUGAGGUCAAUGAUUUUCUGCAGCCUGAGGGUGACAAGGAGAGUCUCCAGGGACUUGAUAGUACAGGGACAGGCAAAGCACACCUGUGACACCCCCCAGCAUUCCUGCUGGAAUGGUCUCCUUCUCCCACAAGAAGUUCAAAGGUUUUGGCAACUGCAAACAGCCACCAGUUCAGAAUCAAGGCAAAACAUGUUGGGGGGAAACCUUUACUACUGAAAUAUUUAUAUCAUUCUCUCACCCAUCUUCCCUGAAGAUUUCCUUCUUUAGCAGCUCUGAUCACAUACACAGAGGAAAUACUGUUCAGGACCCUGAAAUAACACCUGCAGCCAGAAAUCUCUUAUUAGAAUAAAUGGUGGGUUUUCAUCCUGGUUUUUCUAGCCGUAGUGAAGAAACAGUUUCUUGAUUUUCUUUCUUAUAUAAAGAUGCUGAUGUAGAGCAUUCUAAAAUGCUUUGGAUAUGCUUAUUUUGAUGUCAGGUCAGUUAUGUUAGAUUCAUAUUUGAAGAUAUGGCUUCGCACUGCAGGAAAUGCAACAAGAAAAACUAAUUUUGAAUUUUAGGAGAGCACAUCUGGGGAAAGAUCUGUUGGUACCCAAAACAUACAGAUGAGCCCUUCUGCAGAAUCGCAUACAUUUACCACACAGGCACAUCUGGCACCUAUA
Molecule: long non-coding RNA, 1062 nt
Organism: Passer domesticus (house sparrow)
Lineage: Eukaryota; Metazoa; Chordata; Aves; Passeriformes; Passeridae
Exons: 4
Source: RefSeq, a predicted model, not a curated record